AGUCUGGUGCCAGCAGCCGCGGUAAUUCCAGCUCCAAUAGCGUAUAUUAAAAUUGUUGCAGUUAAAAAGCUCGUAGUUGAAUUUCUGCUGCCUUGUCGAGUCCCUCCGGGGUCUUGGCACGUGGCUUUUUUCGGACGGUUCGCUGUCUGGAUGUUUACUUUGAGAAAAUUAGAGUGCUCAAAGCAGGCUUUUGCCUUGAAUAGUUUAGCAUGGAAUAAUAAAGUAGGACUUUGGUUCUAUUUUGUUGGUUUUAGGUACCAAAGUAAUGGUUAAUAGGAACAGUUGGGGGCAUUCGUAUUUAACUGUCAGAGGUGAAAUUCUUAGAUUUGUUAAAGACGAACUACUGCGAAAGCAUUUGCCAAGGAUGUUUUCAUUAAUCAAGAACGAAAGUUAGGGGAUCGAAGACGAUCAGAUACCGUCGUAGUCCUAACCAUAAACAAUGCCGACUAGAGAUUGGAGGUCGUCAGUUUUUACGACUCCUUCAGCACCUUGAGAGAAAUCAAAGUCUUUGG
RNAcentral lists this ribosomal RNA (512 nucleotides) under uncultured Theileria sp. Its description in RNAcentral is "SSU rRNA". It matches the Rfam family "Eukaryotic small subunit ribosomal RNA", at positions 558 to 1110 of the family's 1831-position model. The record is from RNAcentral. Lineage: Eukaryota; Apicomplexa; Aconoidasida; Piroplasmida; Theileriidae.